UCCUGACUGACCGAUAGUGAACCAGUACCGUGAGGGAAAGGCGAAAAGAACCCCGGCGAGGGGAGUGAAAAAGAACCUGAAACCGUGUACGUACAAGCAGUGGGAGCCUCUUUAUGGGGUGACUGCGUACCUUUUGUAUAAUGGGUCAGCGACUUAUAUUCUGUAGCAAGGUUAACCGAAUAGGGGAGCCGAAGGGAAACCGAGUCUUAACUGGGCGUUAAGUUGCAGGGUAUAGACCCGAAACCCGGUGAUCUAGCCAUGGGCAGGUUGAAGGUUGGGUAACACUAACUGGAGGACCGAACCGACUAAUGUUGAAAAAUUAGCGGAUGACUUGUGGCUGGGGGUGAAAGGCCAAUCAAACCGGGAGAUAGCUGGUUCUCCCCGAAAGCUAUUUAGGUAGCGCCUCGUGAAUUCAUCUCCGGGGGUAGAGCACUGUUUCGGCAAGGGGGUCAUCCCGACUUACCAACCCGAUGCAAACUGCGAAUACCGGAGAAUGUUAUCACGGGAGACACACGGCGGGUGCUAACGUCCGUCGUGAAGAGGGAAACAACCCAGACCGCCAGCUAAGGUCCCAAAGUCAUGGUUAAGUGGGAAACGAUGUGGGAAGGCCCAGACAGCCAGGAUGUUGGCUUAGAAGCAGCCAUCAUUUAAAGAAAGCGUAAUAGCUCACUGGUCGAGUCGGCCUGCGCGGAAGAUGUAACGGGGCUAAACCAUGCACCGAAGCUGCGGCAGCGACACUAUGUGUUGUUGGGUAGGGGAGCGU
This 763-nucleotide ribosomal RNA is filed under the name Escherichia coli. Its description in RNAcentral is "partial 23S ribosomal RNA". It matches the Rfam family "Bacterial large subunit ribosomal RNA", at positions 474 to 1239 of the family's 2925-position model. Lineage: Bacteria; Pseudomonadati; Pseudomonadota; Gammaproteobacteria; Enterobacterales; Enterobacteriaceae. The record is from RNAcentral.